GGUUUCUUAGCUCAACGGCAGAGCGCUGCACUGUUAAUGCGGAUGUACUGGGAUCGACACCCAGAGAGACCUCCA
This 75-nucleotide transfer RNA is filed under the name Caudoviricetes sp. RNAcentral describes it as "tRNA-Asn". It matches the Rfam family "tRNA". From Rfam's summary of the family: Transfer RNA (tRNA) molecules are approximately 80 nucleotides in length. Their secondary structure includes four short double-helical elements and three loops (D, anti-codon, and T loops). The record is from RNAcentral. Lineage: Duplodnaviria; Heunggongvirae; Uroviricota; Caudoviricetes.